AUAAGACUGGGAUGUAUGUUUAGGGACCCCAUGUUUGUCUACUGGUGAGCUUCACUUAAUUUAUUAUUAGUCUGUAUGCAUACCAUAUGCAUCUACUCUUUAUACAACUCUACCCUACAUUUCUGUAUUUUAUCUCCAGGAACUCAACAAACUGCUUGUUACACUACUCUCACCUCCUUACUCACCCAAAGCAGAGAAUGAAGCCGAAGCCAUCAAAGAAAAUCAUUGCCAUUGCUGAGAACAAGGAAGAAGAACCUAAGGACCACCUAGGAACAUUUCUGGACAAGAAAAUCUGCUUUGUUCUUUGAAUACCAACAGAAUGUUCCAUUAUCAUAAUUACAGUUCUCAGUGGUAUAAAACAGCGAUGAGAGCUGAUGUUCCCUUGGCAUCAUUAUAUUCAACAUGGUUCUUCUCAUCCCCCAACUGAUGCAAUUACUGGGUUGGAGAAACGCAGAGGUCAAAGGUCUCCACUCUGAGGCUCCAGAUUCCGGGACUCUCUUUGGUGACUGCGUGAUAAUUUUGGAAAACGUGAAGCCACUUUUGAUCGACUGCCUUUGCUGGUUUGUUCUGCACCGCCCUGUAUGUCACU
Xenopus laevis (African clawed frog) is the source of this 589-nucleotide long non-coding RNA. RefSeq lists it as uncharacterized. Lineage: Eukaryota; Metazoa; Chordata; Amphibia; Anura; Pipidae. The transcript is spliced from 3 exons. The record is from RefSeq and is a predicted model, not a curated record.